CGGUUUGAUCAGUCUUCCGGGAAAUCUGACAGCUCAACUGUUAGGCUUCUGGGGGAUACUGUCAGACUUGGAACCGGGAGAGGUAAGAGGUACUACAGGGGUAGGAGUGAAAUCUUGUAAUCCUUGUGGGACCACCAGUGGCGAAGGCGUCUUACCAGAACGGGUUCGACGGUGAGGGACGAAAGCUGGGGGCACGAACCGGAUUAGAUACCCGGGUAGUCCCAGCCGUAAACGAUGCUCGCUAGGUGUCUGGGAUGGUGCGACCGUUUCAGGUGCCGCAGGGAAGCCGUGAAGCGAGCCACCUGGGAAGUACGGCCGCAAGGCUGAAACUUAAAGGAAUUGGCGGGGGAGCACUACAACGGGUGGAGCCUGCGGUUUAAUUGGACUCAACGCCGGAAAACUCACCUGGGGCGACAGCAAUAUGUAGGUCAGGCUGAAGGUCUUACCUGAAUCGCUGAGAGGAGGUGCAUGGCCGUCGUCAGUUCGUACUGUGAAGCAUCCUGUUAAGUCAGGCAACGAGCGAGACCCGUGCCCACUGUUGCCAGCAUAUCCUUCGGGAUGAUGGAUACUCUGUGGGGACCGCCGCUGCUAAAGCGGAGGAAGGUACGGGCUACGGUAGG
This 620-nucleotide ribosomal RNA is filed under the name uncultured Methanolobus sp. Its description in RNAcentral is "bacterial SSU rRNA". It matches the Rfam family "Archaeal small subunit ribosomal RNA", at positions 526 to 1145 of the family's 1478-position model. The record is from RNAcentral. Lineage: Archaea; Methanobacteriati; Methanobacteriota; Methanomicrobia; Methanosarcinales; Methanosarcinaceae.